This 471-nucleotide ribosomal RNA is filed under the name Triticum aestivum (bread wheat). RNAcentral's name for it is "partial small subunit ribosomal RNA". Lineage: Eukaryota; Viridiplantae; Streptophyta; Magnoliopsida; Poales; Poaceae. The record is from RNAcentral.
AUGCCCAGUGCAAUUCAGACCGGAUCGCUCUCCAAACAAUGGAGACACCUCCCUCACCAGCUCUAUUGUCUGCUCAUAGGUGAAUCUGACAUUCAGAGCGCUAGCUACGUCACGCUGGGUCAGAUAAUGGGGGCGUACACAGAAACGACGAGGAGAUUGCUAUCGUCCACGUGCGAAUGCGGCAGCUGUUCCAUCAAGAGCCUGAGACUUACCUUUUACCUUUCAAAACCUUUCUCGUGCUCUAUUGGCCAUGCCGUCGGGGAUGUGGCCAAGAACGGCGAGACCGAAUGCCUCGAGUUUGUGAUAUUAACGCAUCUUGCGAGACCUAGCAAUGCCCAACUUGUCUCGUUUGGACAGCGGUUCAUGUCUCUUCCACUCUUGCCCUGUCGCCUUCAGAUGGCUCACAAGACUAACUCUCCACAACCUUGCAUUUGGAGACUCGGAUGUCCCCAACCUCCUCCAUGCUUGUGA